This 1578-nucleotide ribosomal RNA is filed under the name Triticum aestivum (bread wheat). Its description in RNAcentral is "partial small subunit ribosomal RNA". The record is from RNAcentral. Lineage: Eukaryota; Viridiplantae; Streptophyta; Magnoliopsida; Poales; Poaceae.
AUGGGGCGAGGGAGAAGGAGUGGCAUGAGGCCAGUGCCGUUGUUCUUGGUGCUGGUGCUGGUGCUGGUGUUGGUGUUCAUGGCCAUGGCGAGGGUGGCUGCGGCCGAGGGAAGCGACGUUGCCGAUGGUGUCGAUGCCGGCGAGGACGAGGCUUUUGAGAAGAGGUUCUUGAAGCUGUGGACGGACGGAGGCGGCGGGGACGAGGAAGACCACCUCAGAUGGUACGGUGAUGACGACGAUGAUUAUGGUGAUAUCUACGACGACGAAAAGGUCGAAGAGAUGGUGGAGGAGGAGGAGGGGGAAGAUGGCAUUAUGCUGGGGGUGACGAGAUGCCCGAAUCCGAACAAGAAGAAGAAGACGAAGAGGAACGUCGUGAAGGUCGACAGCUACGGCGCGGUGGGCGACGGCUGCGCCGACGACACAGAGGCAUUCGCAAAGGCGUGGGAGAAGGCGUGCUCGCUCAAGGACGCGGUGCUGGUGGUGCCCAAAGGCCGGCGCUACAAGAUCGGCCCGAGCCGGUUCAUGGGCCCGUGCAAGGAGAGGCUGGUGGUGCUGAUCCACGGCACCAUCGUGGCGCCGGAGGAGCCGUCGCAGUGGGACCCCAGGAGCCCGCGUCUGUGGCUCCUCUUCGGCGGGCUCGUCGGCGCGCGCAUCCAAGGCGGGGGCGUCAUCGACGGCUCCGGCUCCAAAUGGUGGGCCAACUCCUGCAAGAUCGACCGGUCCAAGCCGUGCAAGGGCGCGCCAACGGCGGUGACCAUCGACUCGUGCCGGGGCGUGCGGGUGCGCGGCCUGACCGUCCAGAACGCGCAGCAGAUGCACCUGACGGUGUCGCGGUCGCGCGGGGUGCGGCUGGACGGCAUGGCCAUCCAGGCGCCGGGGGACAGCCCCAACACCGACGGCAUCCACGUGGCGGAGUCCACGGCGGUGACCAUCACCGGCGCCCGCAUCGGCACCGGCGACGACUGCGUGUCCAUCUCCAACGCCAGCUUCGCGGUGAAGAUGAAGGGCAUCGUGUGCGACCCGGGCCACGGCAUCAGCAUCGGCAGCCUGGGGCGGGGCGGCUCCUACGCCGCCGUGGAGGGGGUGACCCUCGACGACGCCCGCAUCUCCCGCGCCCAGAACGGCGUCCGGAUCAAGACCUGGCAGGGCGGCGCCGGGUACGUGCGCAACGUGCGCUUCUCCAACGUGCUGGUGGAGGCCGUCGACCACCCCAUCAUCAUCGACCAGUUCUACUGCGACGCCAGGACGGCGUGCGCCAACCAGACCAGCAACGUGGCCGUCAGCAACGUCUCGUACCGGAACAUCUCCGGCACGGCCACGCGGGACGAGGCCAUCAAGUUCGCCUGCAGCGACGCCGUGCCCUGCAGCGACAUCGUGCUCAGCAACAUCAACCUGCUCGGCGACGACGGUGCCGAGGUGCAGGCCGUGUGCAACUGCGCCAUGGGGCUGGGCUACGACCCCGUCCGCCCCGCCGUCGACUGCCUCAGGAACAACGCGUGCGGCGGCGGCGGCGGAGGGCAGAAGUUGGGCGCGGAGGAGCCGUCGACGACGGACGCGCCGCUGCACGCCGAGCUGUGA